UCCAGGCAAAUCCGGAUAAUCAAGGCUGAGGUGUGAUGACGAGGCACUACGGUGCUGAAGUAACAAAUGCCCUGCUUCCAGGAAAAGCCUCUAAGCAUCAGGUAACAUCAAAUCGUACCCCAAACCGACACAGGUGGUCAGGUAGAGAAUACCAAGGCGCUUGAGAGAACUCGGGUGAAGGAACUAGGCAAAAUGGUGCCGUAACUUCGGGAG
This 213-nucleotide ribosomal RNA is filed under the name Klebsiella pneumoniae. RNAcentral's name for it is "partial 23S ribosomal RNA". It matches the Rfam family "Bacterial large subunit ribosomal RNA", at positions 1531 to 1742 of the family's 2925-position model. Lineage: Bacteria; Pseudomonadati; Pseudomonadota; Gammaproteobacteria; Enterobacterales; Enterobacteriaceae. The record is from RNAcentral.